Molecule: unclassified non-coding RNA, 152 nt
Filed under: uncultured Mariannaea
Lineage: Eukaryota; Fungi; Ascomycota; Sordariomycetes; Hypocreales; Clavicipitaceae
Also listed under: 1 other name
Description: sequence contains ITS1
Source: RNAcentral
CCGAGUUUACAACUCCCAAACCCAUGUGAACAUACCUGUCUUGUUGCUUCGGCGGCGCCUCCGGCCCUCACCGGCCGCGGCCCGCCAGAGGACCCAAAACUCUUUUUGCAUUUGAAUACAGUAUUUCUGAGUGACAUGAUUAAAUCAAAUCA